This 58-nucleotide ribosomal RNA is filed under the name Fusarium sp. G39. RNAcentral describes it as "partial 28S ribosomal RNA". The record is from RNAcentral. Lineage: Eukaryota; Fungi; Ascomycota; Sordariomycetes; Hypocreales; Nectriaceae.
GACCUCGGAUCAGGUAGGAAUACCCGCUGAACUUAAGCAUAUCAAUAAGCCGGAGGAA